RNAcentral lists this ribosomal RNA (440 nucleotides) under uncultured bacterium. RNAcentral's name for it is "partial 16S ribosomal RNA". It matches the Rfam family "Bacterial small subunit ribosomal RNA", at positions 339 to 795 of the family's 1533-position model. The record is from RNAcentral.
CUACGGGUGGCAGCAGUGGGGAAUUUUGCGCAAUGGGGGAAACCCUGACGCAGCAAUACCGCGUGAGUGAGGAAGGCCUUUGGGUCGUAAAGCUCUUUUCUUGGGGAAGAUAGUGACGGUACCCAAGGAAUAAGCACCGGCGUGACUCCGUGCCAGCAGCCGCGGUAAUACGGAGGGUGCAAGCGUUGUUCGGAUUUACUGGGCGUAAAGGGCACGUAGGCGGCACAGCAAGUUAAGGGUGAAAUCCCGGGGCUCAACUCCGGAACUGCUCUUAAAACUGCUGAGCUAGAGAUAGUCAGAGGCGGGUGGAAUUCCAGGUGUAGAGGUGAAAUUCGUAGAUAUCUGGAGGAACACCGGUGGCGAAGGCGGCCCGCUGGGGCUAUUCUGACGCUAAGGUGCGAAAGCGUGGGGAGUAAACGGGAUUAGAUACCCGCGUAGUC